AAAAAAGAAAAAUUAAUUAGAAUACAUGUAUUAAGCAAUGGAGGUGAGGUGAUUGCCAUAUGAUACUGCCUUAAUGAGCUGUAGUUUCACACUAUUUCCUUCACAACCUCAAUGCAGUAAUUCAAUCUUAUUAUUUAUUCUCUCCUCUCUUUCCUUUACGAUUGUUGCCCAACAGGAAAAAAACUGGAGGAGAGAGUAAAAACAUAAAUGUUUUGAGGGUUUCUUUCUUUCUUCUCCUCUCCAUUGCCCACCUGAAUUCUUCUAAUAUCAUUCCUUAUAGUUUUGUUUUUGUUUUCUUUUGUUGGGUUUUCUCUUUGCAAUCUAUUGAAGCUCCAUUGACGCUUGUUCUAUGCAGUUCCUUUGAAGGCAACUGAUUUAAUUCACAAGCUUCAAGAUUUAAGGGUUUACACGCAAGCUUAUAAAGCUCCAGCUCCAAGGUUUGAGAAAGCCGUGAUUGCUUUCUCUGCAAUGCAUUUGUAACUCUAAAGACCUUAUUGGGCUAUCAACAUCGGUGGCCUUUUAAGGUGACUUGUGUAUUGCAAAUCUUUAAUCGCGUGUGAUUUAUAUACGCAAUUCUAUUACUUGUCUGAAGAUUAGGGUUUUUGAGUUGAAAGAGCAUUGAUUUCCUGGUCUCUUAUCUGGGUUUUUAAGUUUAAAGGGUAUGUUCUAAUGGGUCAUUGUUUGUUUCUUAACUGGUUAUAGGAUUUAGGUGUCUGGGGUCCAAAGGUAUUAGUACCUUGUGCUUUUUUAUUUGAUCGAAAUAUGAGUCGUAGGGUGCGGCGCAAAGUGGCAAAGAAGGGACAGGAGAAGGUGGUUUUGCCUAGUUUUCCUGAAAUUGAAGAUGAGGUUUCAUGUUCUGAUAGCAAUGAGGCUGUUGAUUGGACUAGCUUGCCUGAUGACACAGUAAUUCAACUAUUUUCCUGUCUGAAUUAUCGUGACCGUGCAAGCUUGUCAUCAACAUGUAGGACAUGGAGGGCUCUAGGCGUUUCCCCAUGCUUGUGGACAUCAUUAGAUCUCCGUGCCCACAAAUGUGAUGCUGCCAUGGCGGCGUCACUUGCUUCUAGAUGUGUAAAUCUUCAGAAGCUUAGGUUUCGUGGAGCAGAAUCAGCUGAUGCAAUAAUACAUCUCCAAGCUAGGAAUUUGCGUGAAAUAAGUGGUGAUUACUGUAGGAAAAUAACAGAUGCAACUCUUUCUGUGAUUGUGGCUCGGCAUGAGUUGCUUGAAAGCCUCCAACUUGGCCCUGACUUCUGUGAGAGGAUCAGCAGUGAUGCUAUAAGAGCAAUUGCUUUUUGCUGUCCUAAACUAAUGAAACUUCGGCUGUCCGGAAUUAGGGAUGUUUCUGCUGAUGCCAUUAAUGCCUUGGCCAAGCAUUGUCCGAAUUUGAUUGAUAUUGGGUUCUUGGACUGUCUUAAUGUUGAUGAGGUAGCAUUGGGAAACGUAGUAUCUGUUUGUUUCCUCUCAGUUGCUGGGACGUCAAAUAUGAAAUGGGGUGUGAUUUCACAUCUUUGGCAUAAGCUGCCUAAACUGAUUGGGUUAGAUGUUUCAAGAACUGAUAUUGGUCCAACAGCUGUUUCUAGGUUGCUAUCAUCAUCUCAUAGCUUGAAGGUUUUGUGUGCAUUGAAUUGUUCAGUUCUUGAAGAAGACACCACCUUCAGUGCAAAUAGGUACAAAGGCAAAUUAUUAAUUGCCCUUUUCACCGAUGUUUUUAAAGGACUAGCUUCUUUAUUUGCCGAUACUACAAAUUCAAAGAAAGGGAAAAAUGCGUUUUUAGAUUGGAGGAAUUCAAAGAACAAGCACAAAAACUUAGAUGAUAUCAUGACUUGGCUAGAAUGGAUCCUAUCUCAUACACUUCUGCGUACUGCUGAGAGCAAUCCACAAGGUCUGGAUGAUUUCUGGCUAAAGCAAGGUACAGCAAUAUUGCUUAGUUUAAUGCAGAGCUCACAGGAAGAUGUGCAAGAAAGGGCAGCAACAGGACUUGCAACUUUUGUGGUCAUUGAUGAUGAAAAUGCUAGCAUAGAUUGUGGAAGGGCUGAAGCAGUUAUGCGAGAUGGUGGUAUACGCCUCCUUCUAGACCUUGCCAAAUCCUGGAGGGAAGGUCUUCAGUCAGAGGCUGCUAAGGCUAUAGCAAACUUGUCCGUGAAUGCAAAUGUUGCAAAAGCUGUUGCAGAAGAAGGAGGAAUCAACAUUCUUGCUGGGUUGGCAAGGUCCAUGAACAGGCUGGUGGCUGAAGAGGCUGCUGGAGGACUUUGGAAUCUCUCAGUUGGAGAAGAGCACAAGGUUGAAAAUGCCAUGUGUUUUAUCAAAUCUAUUAUCAAAUGACAUAUGCUCUAUACUUCUAAUUGCAUUUGUUUGAAAACUAUUACCAGGGUGCCAUUGCUGAGGCUGGUGGAGUAAAAGCUUUAGUUGAUCUUAUAUUCAAAUGGUCCUCUGGCGGUGAUGGAGUUCUGGUCCGGUCUUUAAUAACCUGUGCAACAUUUUAGUCAUAUGAAAUACUUCAAUUGUGUGCAUUAUUUUUUUUCUUUUGCAUGCAAUUCUAGUAGCCAUUGUAUGAUAACUAAUUCUUGUGCUGGUUUCCAUUUGCAUGUUUUUCAGGAACGUGCGGCUGGUGCUUUGGCUAAUUUGGCAGCUGAUGACAAGUGUAGCAUGGAGGUUGCUCUGGCAGGUGGCGUGCAUGCUUUAGUGAUGCUUGCUCGUAACUGCAAGUUUGAGGGAGUGCAAGAGCAGGCUGCUCGUGCCUUAGCUAACUUGGCUGCUCAUGGAGACAGCAAUACUAACAAUGCUGCUGUUGGACAAGAGGCUGGUGCUCUUGAAGCACUUGUUCAACUUACACGUUCACCACAUGAAGGUGUCAGGCAGGAAGCUGCUGGUGCUUUGUGGAACUUAUCUUUUGAUGACAGGAAUCGAGAAGCAAUUGCAGUGGCUGGUGGUGUUGAGGCUUUGGUUGCUCUUGCUCAAUCCUGUUCAAAUGCCUCUCCUGGUCUACAAGAGAGGGCUGCUGGAGCUCUCUGGGGAUUGUCGGUGUCGGAAGCCAAUAGGUAUGUGCAAUUAGUUUUUUCUAUUUGUUUUUCCGUUUGUUAGAGAUCAUAAUAAAUCUUCUGAUUGCCUAGUUAAUAUAUUUUAUAUUUGCUUUAUUUAUUUGUUCAACCAAAGAAAUCCAGUUCCCUCCACCCCAUUGUGUGUAGAUUCUUCAAACCAGAGUGAUCUUCCUGGUGGAAGGCAGAGAUAAACAGUGGCUGCAUAAAGUGGGUGCCUGAGUGGUGUGGCCAAGAUUUUAAAUAAUGGAAUCAGAAUCAUAAACUGAUUGAAUUGGUCUGUUUCGGACCCAAUCGUCUGCCACCAUGAAUUUCUUUUAACCAUUAGCAAAAUGGCUAAAGUCAACAUUAAAUCAAGGAUUGAACUAAAUAUCACAGCAAUAUUGUAUAUCCAAUAAUUUAUAGUAGAAAAAGGAAAAGAUCAAAGACAAUUUGAAAAAAAAAAAAUACUCUAAAUAAAAAAUUUAAAUUAACUUUUCAAUAUAGGGCUGAAAGCAACCAUAUAAAAGAAACUCUAGUAUGUAUUAAGUUCAAAAAUAAAAAUUAAAACCCCAGCCCAUGUUAUAUAUAUUAGGUCUUUAAAAGGUAACUUUAAAAAGAGAAAGAAAAACACUCUCUUACCGUCACUCGUCCUCCCCUAGUGGUUGCAAAGGUUUAACAAUGAAAAAAAAAAACUUCUGGAAUUCUAUCAACAGUCUUGCCAUUAGACUAGGUACACCCCCUCCCCAAAUCCUCUCUCAUCCUUCUCUUCUCCUUGUUCUUCUUCUUCUUUCUUCUUCCCCUUUGUAUCAAUAGAACCAAAGACUCUCUCAAUUCUCCAAAAAAGUAGGAAUUUAUUUUUUUUAAUUGCAUCAGUCUUUGCCUAGUGCCUAAGGACAAACGACACUAAACAACAGAGAACAAGGCAAGAAUUUCUAAUUUUACACAGAUCUGUCAUAUGUCAUGUUGCUUAUCACCCAUUGCACCCAUCUCAGACUGAUACAGGACUGUUUCUCUGUGAUUUCUGAUUGGUACAUGAAACAACCGAUAUCAGAUCAGUCCCCUCAAAAUCUAUUACAUAUUGUGCAAUAUGUAAUAGAUUAGGAGUUGGUAACUGUCUCAGAGUCCUGAUGUGAACAAAUCUUUAGUUUUGGCAAAUAUCUCGAGAUUCUUAUCUUGUAAAGUGAUCUGAGUAUCGUGCGUAAGGUUGGGCGAGUAACCCCUUUUCCGAGUAUCCGAGUAUCCCAUGGUUACUCGGUUCGGGCAUCUGAGUAUCCCACGGUUACUUGUUACUGGGUACCCAUUUUGGUCUGUAGCAUCAAUGGAUGAUAACCAUGAGUAUGGCGCAUAUGGUUUGAGAAAAUGAAUUUGCAAGUAAUCCACAUGGCGUCUAACAAUUAACAUGAUUGUUUCAAGGAUGGAAGAUUAAUCCCUCCAAAAAAAAAUGUAAGAAAAAUGUCCAUCAUUUAAUUGAUCUUAAUUUGCUAACAUCUGAUCAUUAUAAAGCUAAAUAAGGUUGGCAUUCCUGCAUCAUCAAAAUGACACACCUGACAUCUGUACUUGUAUGACUGGUUCAAAUUAUUUUUGCCCUUUACAGACUGCUAAUUGCUUACAUAUUCUUGGUUUAUCUUCAAUCCUUGUGAUUUUUAUAUUAUUGUUGUUCUUGGCACAGUACUUGACUACGUGUAUAUGCAAAUACUGUAGGAAAAAGAUUUUGUUUUAUUAAUCAUGUUUGAGUAUAUGUGCUAAUGUUAUAUAUAUGCUUGUUGGCCUUUAUUAGCAUUGCCAUUGGACGAGAAGGAGGUGUUGCACCUCUAAUUGCUCUGGCACGAUCUGAGGCUGAGGAUGUCCAUGAAACUGCAGCAGGGGCACUUUGGAAUCUUGCUUUCAACCCAGGUAACGCUCUGCAGAUAGUAGAGGAAGGUGGAGUUCCGGCACUUGUGCAUCUAUGUUCUUCAUCAGUAUCAAAGAUGGCGCGCUUCAUGGCUGCAUUGGCAUUGGCAUACAUGUUUGAUGGAAGAAUGGAUGAAUUUGCAUUGAUAGGAACUUUGACAGAAAGCACUUCAAAGAGCAUGAGCUUAGAAGGGGCUAGAAGGAUGGCUUUGAAGCACAUUGAAGCUUUUGUCCUAACAUUUUCUGAUCAACAGACAUUUGCAGUUGCUGCUACAUCAUCAGCUCCAGCAGCAUUGGCACAAGUAACAGAGAGGGCUCGUAUUCCGGAAGCAGGACAACUCAGAUGCAGUGGAGCUGAAAUUGGACGAUUUGUUGCCAUGCUACGAAAUCCCUCUUCUAUACUCAAGGCUUGUGCUGCAUUUGCUCUUCUCCAGUUUACCAUUCCUGGAGGCCGGCAUGCUAUGCACCAUGCAAGUCUCAUGAAGAAUGUUGGAGCUGCACGAGUCGUUCGUGCUGCAGCUGCUGCAGCAACUGCACCACUUGAAGCCAAAAUUUUUGCAAGAAUUGUACUGCGUAACCUUGAGCGCCACCAGAUAGAACCUUCAAUAUGAAGGCAACUCUCAAACCUGCUUAGUCAUUGAUGGAGCCCCAUCCACAUAUAAAGCACUUCCUUUCUUAGUGAAGGUGAGAAUUCCUGUGUUUUGUAAUCUCAAUGUAGAGAGCCAACCAACGUGCUCAAGCAACAAUGCUCAAUGUAACUUCUUUCCCUUCUCUCCCCCUAUUUGUUAGGUAUGUAGAGGUGGUUUUUUGGUUUUGAGAAAUAUUUUUUUGUCUUCUUAUUGUAACAAUUCCUCGUCAUAUAUUAUAAGUACUUUUGGUGGGGGAUUGAUAUAGAAUAAUCAGUUGCCCCUUUUCUUCUAUUUUAUCUUUAUAUUCGUUGUGGCAUUCCUUCCUUAUAAUGAUAUCUGAAGCUGUUUGAGACUUAUCCAGGCUCCAC
RNAcentral lists this unclassified non-coding RNA (5901 nucleotides) under Hevea brasiliensis (rubber tree). Lineage: Eukaryota; Viridiplantae; Streptophyta; Magnoliopsida; Malpighiales; Euphorbiaceae. The record is from RNAcentral.